CGUAAUAGCUCACUGGUCGAGCGUCUCUGCGCGGAAAAUUUAACGGGGCUAAGAUACAAACCGAAGCUUAGGCUGCACGUAAGUGCGGGGUAGGGGAGCGUUGUGUAAGCGGAGAAACAGUAGCGUAAGCGGCUGUGGAGUUUACAGAAGUGAGAAUGCCGGAAUGAGUAGCGCGAAUGUGGUGAGAAUCCACAUGGCCGGAAACCUCAGGUUUUUGGAGGAAGGUUCGUCCGCUCCAAGUUAGGCGGGAGCUAAGGUCAGGCCGAAAGGCGUAGCCGAUGCACAGACGGUAGAGAUUCCGUCCCCACCGAAAGAUUUAAGCACAGGGACACUUUUUGAAGGUCGGAGCCAGGUGUUGGUUCUGGUAGUGAUCGAGGGAAAUAUAGUACCGAAGUCCGGCUGGAGGAGAGGCGAGAAAAGCUGUGUGUAUAUCUAAGGUGCCCGUACCGCAAACCGACACAGGUAGGUAGGAAGAAGAUUCUAAGGCCAACGGGAGAAGGGUUGUUAAGGAACUCGGCAAGUUGACCCCGUAACUUCGGAAUAAGGGGUGCUCAUGAAAGUGAGCCGCAGAGAAUAGGCCCAGGCAACUGUUUACCAAAAACACAGGUUUGUGCUAAAUCGAAAGAUGACGUAUACGAGCUGACGCCUGCCCGGUGCUGGAAGGUUAAAAGGAGAUGUGCAAGCAUUGAAUUGAAGCCCCAGUGAACGGCGGCCGUAACUAUAACGGUCCUAAGGUAGCGAAAUUCCUUGUCAGGUAAGUUCUGACCCGCAUGAAAGGCGUAAUGAUCUGGGCACUGUCUCAACAGCCCGCCCGGCGAAAUUGUAGUACCGGUGAAGAUGCCGGUUACCCGCGACAAGACGGAAAGACCCCAUGGAGCUUUACUGUAGCCUGAUAUUGGGUUUCGGUGUUGCAUGCACAGGAUAGAUGGGACGCUGGGAAAGAGUCGCUUUGGCGAUUCUGGAGCGGACGUUGGGAUACCAUCCUUGCGACAUUGGAAUUCUAACCUGCGCCUCUGAAUCGAGGCGGGGGACAUUGUCAGGUGGGCAGUUUGACUGGGGCGGUCGCCUCCUAAAAAGUAGCGGAGGCGUUCAAAGGUUCGCUCAGCUUGGACGGAAACCAAGCUAGAGAGUGCAAACGCAAAAGCGAGCCUGACUGCGAGACUGACGGGUCGAGCAGAGACGAAAGUCGGAGUUAGUGAUCCGGUGGUAUGUGAGUGGAAAUGCCAUCGCUCAACGGAUAAAAGUUACCCUGGGGAUAACAGGCUGAUCUCCCCCAAGAGUCCACAUCGACGGGGAGGUUUGGCACCUCGAUGUCGGCUCAU
This 1322-nucleotide ribosomal RNA is filed under the name human gut metagenome. RNAcentral describes it as "bacterial LSU rRNA". It matches the Rfam family "Bacterial large subunit ribosomal RNA", at positions 1133 to 2540 of the family's 2925-position model. The record is from RNAcentral.